CUGCUGCCUUCCGUAGGAGUUUGGGCCGUGUCUCAGUCCCAAUGUGGCCGUCCACCCUCUCAGGCCGGCUACUGAUCGUCGCCUUGGUGGGCCGUUACCCCGCCAACAAGCUAAUCAGACGCGGGUCCAUCUUACACCACCGGAGUUUUUCACACAAAUCCAUGCGGCUUCGUGCGCUUAUGCGGUAUUAGCACCUAUUUCUAAGUGUUAUCCCCCAGUGUAAGGCAGGUUACCCACGCGUUACUCACCCGUCCGCCACUAAGA
This 264-nucleotide ribosomal RNA is filed under the name uncultured bacterium. RNAcentral describes it as "partial 16S ribosomal RNA". The record is from RNAcentral.